GCAAUCAUACUAGCACUAAUGCACCGGAUCCCAUCAGAUCUUUGUAGUUAAGCGUGCAUGAGCGAGAGUAGUACUAGGAUGGGUGACCCCUGAGAAGUCUUCAUGUUGUACCCC
Non-coding RNA from Ilex paraguariensis (yerba mate), 114 nucleotides. Lineage: Eukaryota; Viridiplantae; Streptophyta; Magnoliopsida; Aquifoliales; Aquifoliaceae. The record is from the annotation of a GenBank genome assembly.